RNAcentral lists this ribosomal RNA (497 nucleotides) under uncultured bacterium. RNAcentral's name for it is "partial 16S ribosomal RNA". It matches the Rfam family "Bacterial small subunit ribosomal RNA", at positions 28 to 507 of the family's 1533-position model. The record is from RNAcentral.
GACGAACGCUGGCGGCGUGCCUAAUACAUGCAAGUCGAGCGGACAGACGGGAGCUUGCUCCCUGAUGUUAGCGGCGGACGGGUGAGUAACACGUGGGUAACCUGCCUGUAAGACUGGGAUAACUCCGGGAAACCGGGGCUAAUACCGGAUGGUUGUCUGAACCGCAUGGUUCAGACAUAAAAGGUGGCUUCGGCUACCACUUACAGAUGGACCCGCGGCGCAUUAGCUAGUUGGUGAGGUAACGGCUCACCAAGGCAACGAUGCGUAGCCGACCUGAGAGGGUGAUCGGCCACACUGGGACUGAGACACGGCCCAGACUCCUACGGGAGGCAGCAGUAGGGAAUCUUCCGCAAUAGACGAAAGUCUGACGGAGCAACGCCGCGUGAGUGAUGAAGGUUUUCGGAUCGUAAAGCUCUGUUGUUAGGGAAGAACAAGUGCCGUUCAAAUAGGGCGGCACCUUGACGGUACCUAACCAGAAAGCCACGGCUAACUACGUG